GCGAGGAGGAAACACCCGAUCCCAUUCCGAACUCGGCAGUUAAGCUCCUUUGCGCCGAUGAUACUUCGUCUCAAGACGCGGGAAAGUAGGUCACUGCCAGGA
RNAcentral lists this ribosomal RNA (102 nucleotides) under Magnetococcales bacterium. The record is from RNAcentral. Lineage: Bacteria; Pseudomonadati; Pseudomonadota; Magnetococcia; Magnetococcales.